GAUGAACGCUGGCGGCGUGCCUAAUACAUGCAAGUCGAACGCUGGAGAUCUAGCUUGCUAGAUCGAAGGAGUGGCGAACGGGUGAGUAAUACAUAAGCAACCUACCCACGAAGACUGGGAUAAUCUCUGGAAACGGGGACUAAUACCGGAUAGGUAAUCGGAAGGCAUCUUCUGGUUAUUAAAGGUUAAAAACACUGGUGGAUGGGCUUAUGGCGCAUUAGUUAGUUGGUGAGGUAACGGCCCACCAAGACGAUGAUGCGUAGCCGGCCUGAGAGGGUGAACGGCCACAUUGGGACUGAGACACGGCCCAGACUCCUACGGGAGGCAGCAGUAGGGAAUGUUCGGCAAUGGGGGCAACCCUGACCGAGCAACGCCGCGUGAGUGAAGACGGCGUUCGGGUUGUAAAGCUCUGUUGUAAGGGAAGAACGGUAGAUAGAGAAUAUCUAAGUGACGGUACCUUACCAGAAAGCCACGGCUAACUACGUG
RNAcentral lists this ribosomal RNA (486 nucleotides) under uncultured bacterium. RNAcentral's name for it is "partial 16S ribosomal RNA". It matches the Rfam family "Bacterial small subunit ribosomal RNA", at positions 28 to 507 of the family's 1533-position model. The record is from RNAcentral.